Molecule: RNA transcript, 1972 nt
Organism: Perca fluviatilis (European perch)
Lineage: Eukaryota; Metazoa; Chordata; Actinopteri; Perciformes; Percidae
Exons: 4
Source: RefSeq, a predicted model, not a curated record
UAAAAAAAGGAAAGAAAUCUCAGAUUCCAGCUUCUUGAAUGUGAAUGUUUUCUAAUUUCUGCACUGCAAUGUGACAGUAAACAAAAUCUAUUUAAGUUGUGGACAAAACAAGACAUUUAAGGGACAUCAUCUUGGGUUUUGGGUAACACUGAUUGACAUCUUCUGACAACUAAUCCAUUAAUCAAGACAAUAUCCACCUAUAACUAAUGACAACAAUGAAAAUAAUUCUUAGCUGCAGGCCCUCUUCUCGCCUCUGGUUGUUGUUACUAAUGGAAAAGCACCGCUCCAACUGUCUCUGGGUAAAAAACAAAGGGCUGCUUAUACAGUGCAGACACUAAGACACCAGUAAGACGUCUUAUGUUCAAUUCCAAAGUGUAAAAAAAGUGAUUUACAUAUCAUACUGUUUAUUCCCAAACAAAUAAUUAACAUUCAUGAAAAUUCAGUUUUUAUGAGGGGUAUCUGUAGGGUACUCAAAUAUACAUACUUACGUUCAUCCAGUGACAUUUCUCUCUCAUUCUUUUCCGUCCUUGACCUCUUCGUUCAUCGCUUUCACUUUUCCUUCACCUUCCUUUAAUCAUUCAGUCUCUGCAGGAAUGGGUUAUGUUUCACAGCAACAACAAUAAAAUUCCCCCAGGCGGGGCAUGUGGGUUGGAAGUUAGUUUACUUUCAGAUGCUGUUUGAUUUAAUCAUUCAACGCUCCCAUCGGAAAGAAGCACUCUUGAGUUUCUGAAGACAGAUCAACUUCCAAGAUGUCCUCCCUGUGGUUGUAUCUGACUCUGCUCUAUGCUGCCAGUUUUGUACAAAACAGUGCCUCAUCAGGUUCAGGAGUGACACUGAAGUGCAACGAAACCGUGGAAGUUGAAGCUGGAGAAAUGGUGACACUAAACUGCACUAUAACAUAUUCCGGUUUGGACAAACCACAGGACUGUGAAUGUUUAAGUUAUUCCUGGAAUAACAUUGAGAUCAUACCAUGCAGGCAAGACAACGGGUUGGAUAGUGUGACUUAUGUGUCGCUCACCCUCUCAAAUGUCACAAAAAACGGAACUUACACCGCUACCAUCAAAACAGACUGCGGUCGGGCUACAUCAUCUCCUAUAGAAGUACAAGUUAUCCAGCUCGGCGACGGUGAUCGCAUGGAGCAUUCCAACAACACCCACGAUGUUUAUUUUUUUCUUGCCAGGUGAAACCAUGUCAACACAUGUGCCAGCCAAAGCCAGGUCAAGACAUGUGCCAGCCAAAGCCAGGUCAAGACAUGUGCUAGCCAUAUUUUAUGGCAUUUUCAUCAUCGUCAUGUUGUAUUUCCUGUUUAGAACUAAUAGAGGCAGAGAAAUAAUGGAACGUAUCAAGAAGAAACAGACUCAUGAAGCCCACAGUGACAUGGACACUGCACUCGGGAGUCCACUGAUUGCCUGACAAAUUUUCUAAUUUGUGUUUCACCAUCUGUGGGUAUGUUACAAAUAUUUCUUGUUCAUAUGUUUUUUCCUCGACACUGCUGGCUGUGUUCUGCCAUACUGUCAAUUGUUUUAGAAUUCUGAUUAAUCCAUGUACAUAUAAUGAUUUCAUUUGAUUAAAGAGGCAUUCAUUGCACCAAGACUUUGGAAUGCUCUGCCUCCACCCUUACGGACGGCUGCAUCUGUGGAUUCUUUUAAACAUCAGUUAAAAACCUACCUUUUUAGACAGGUGUUCAGCUGACCUGUCUGCACUUUUUUGUUUUUUUAUGUAAUUUUGAUUGUGUAUAAUGUUUUUAAUAUGUAAAAUGUAUGUCUUUUUAUGUCAUUAUAAAGCACUUUGUGAUUUCAUUUGUAAAAAGCUCUUCAUGAAUACAUUUUUCUUACCUACAUACUUACUUUUGUUGUAGUACUCCUCAAUACCUGUAAACAGACUGAUGUUUACAGUUUUUUCCAAUUGCUAAAACACAAUUUUGCAAACUAGGCUGGUUUUAUCAAAAUACUUAACACAAUUCACAAAACUA